This 298-nucleotide ribosomal RNA is filed under the name Borreliella burgdorferi (Lyme disease spirochete). RNAcentral's name for it is "partial 23S ribosomal RNA". It matches the Rfam family "Bacterial large subunit ribosomal RNA", at positions 242 to 499 of the family's 2925-position model. The record is from RNAcentral. Lineage: Bacteria; Pseudomonadati; Spirochaetota; Spirochaetia; Spirochaetales; Borreliaceae.
AGUAGUGGNGAGCGAAAAGGGAGUAGCCCAAACUUUAAAUGUGUCAAGCUGCAGAGCGUUGCAUUUAUGGGGUUGUAGGACGUUUAGGCUUAGUCUGUGAUAAGCAAAAAAGUUACAAAAUAUUUAUAUAGAAGAAUAAUCUGGAAAGAUUAACCAAAGAAGGUGAUAGUCCUGUAAUUUAAAUGUAAAUAUCUUUUUANAAUGUUCCUGAGUAGAACGAGGCACGAGAAACCUUGUUUGAAGCUGGGGAGACCACUCUCCAAGGCUAAAUACUAAAAAGCUACCGAUAGUGAAGAGU